UACGGAGGUUGCGAGCGUUGUUCGGAAUAACUGGGCGUAAAGGGAGCGCAGGCGGUUUGGUAAGUCUAAAGUGAAAGCCCGGGGCUUAACCUCGGAAGUGCUUUGGAUACUGUCAGACUCGAGUUCGUAAGAGGAAAGCGGAAUUCCAGGUGUAGCGGUGAAAUGCGUAGAUAUCUGGAGGAACACCGGUGGCGAAAGCGGCUUUCUGGUACGAUACUGACGCUGAGGCUCGAAAGCAUGGGGAGCGAACAGGAUUAGAUACCCUGGUAGUCCAUGCCGUAAACGUUGUGCACUAGGUGUGGGAGGUAUCGACCCCUUCCGUGCCGCAGCUAACGCAUUAAGUGCACCGCCUGGGGAGUACGGUCGCAAGACUGAA
RNAcentral lists this ribosomal RNA (376 nucleotides) under uncultured bacterium. Its description in RNAcentral is "bacterial SSU rRNA". It matches the Rfam family "Bacterial small subunit ribosomal RNA", at positions 524 to 898 of the family's 1533-position model. The record is from RNAcentral.